GUUUAGCUCAGUCGGUUAGAGCAUCGUGCUAAUAACGCGAGGGUCGCAGGUUCGAGCCCUGCAUCG
Molecule: transfer RNA, 66 nt
Filed under: Perkinsus olseni
Lineage: Eukaryota; Perkinsozoa; Perkinsida; Perkinsidae
Also listed under: 1 other name
Description: tRNA-Ile
Rfam family: tRNA
About the family: Transfer RNA (tRNA) molecules are approximately 80 nucleotides in length. Their secondary structure includes four short double-helical elements and three loops (D, anti-codon, and T loops).
Source: RNAcentral